Molecule: non-coding RNA, 2399 nt
Organism: Callithrix jacchus (white-tufted-ear marmoset)
Lineage: Eukaryota; Metazoa; Chordata; Mammalia; Primates; Cebidae
Source: RefSeq, a predicted model, not a curated record
AGGUAAGAGCUGCUAGAGCCUCCUUUCAGGUCCAGGUGUGUGUGUGUGUGUGUGUGUGUGUGUGUGUGUGUGUGUGUGUCAGAGAGAGAGAAUUCCAUGGAGGCGGAGGAGGUGGGAGAGUAAAGUCUGUCACGGUGGAACUUCUGCCCAAGCAGAGACAGCUUCGUGGUGGAUUUCAGAGAGGCAAGAUGGAGCCACCUGCAAGCUUCAAGACCAGCUGGGGAAGAGUAAAUUAGAGUGUCCGCCGCCCCACAUCUAUCUUCUACACCUGCUCCUUUAUUUUUCUUUCUGGAGGGCUUAGAGAAACUUACUGGGCAGAAGGAAGAGCUCCUCACUGGGUUUCAGGAAUCUCACUAAAGGAAAUGGUCACAGAAAGAAGAGUCACUCAGUAAUUGGGAUGAUAAGAAAGGGGCCCUGCGUCUCUGGCCUGUUGUCAGGCCCUGCCGGGCUCUUCACUGUUCGGAGCCACAUCUAUGGAGCCAAACUGCCUCGACCCACUUUCUGAGGAGGAGACAGGCAGGAAGUGCCUGCCCUAGCCAGGUUCAGCCCGCAGAGGGUGUUCCAGACUCCAGGCAGCCUGCUGGCCCAGCUCCAGGCCCAGGUGGCUGCAGGAUCCAUGAUGGGUGACUCAGGUGCUUCCUGAUGCUUCCAAAGCUGGGCUUGGAGCUGAUCCACCAGCACCUGUGCUGUCUGAUGAUGCCAUGGAGGCCACUGGGCUGAAAGAGCUCUACUUAGACCACAUACAAUAUGAUGAGGAAACUGAGGCUGAGUCACAGGCUCAGAAACACACAGCUGGAGACCGGGUGAAUCCAGGAUCUGAACUCAGGUUAUCUAUCGAACCUAGAGCCUGCCAGAUCCACCUGCCAAGCUACCCGACCUUGAGUUGGUGCUUUUUUCCCCCUUUGUUCUUUUUUCCUCCCUCCUUCCCUCCCUCACUUUCUCUCUCUCUUUCUGAUGGAGUUUCGCUCUUGUUGCCCAGGCUGGAGUGCAAUGGCAUGAUCUCAGCUCACCACAACCUUCGCCUCCCAGGUUCAAGUGAUUCUCCUGCCCCUGCCUCCUAAGUAGCUGGGAUUCCCAGCCUGCGCCAACACACCUGGCUAAUUUUGUAUUUUUAGUAGAGAUGGGGUUUCUCCAUGUCAGUCAGACUAGUCUCAAACUCCUGACCUCAGGUAAUCCACCCACCUUGGCCUCCCAAAGUGCUGGGAUUACAGAUGUGAGCCACUGCGCUCAGCCUAUUUUUCUUUUUUAUAGACAAAGUAUCUUGCUCUGUCACCCAGACUGGAGUGCAGUGGUAUAAUCAUAACUCACUGCAGUCUCGAACUCCUGGGCUCAAGCAAUUCUCCCACUUCAGCCUCCCUCGUAUAGGACUAUAGGUGUGUGCCAGUACUCCUGGCUAGUGGGCUGGUGCACCUAACUCUCACAGGUACUGCCUCUCUUCUGCUCUGUCAUCAUGACUGUAGUACAAGAAGGAAACUCAGCAUUCAGCCUCAGGAUUCUAGGCCUGGCUCAGCCACAGCCUGCUGUGUGAUCUUGGCCUUCAUUCCCCACUCUGGCCUUCGGAUUCCUCAGUGAUUAGAUCAACUAGUCUGCAACUCUGCCUCCAGUUCUGUGGCUCUGACCCACGUGGAAACAGCAGUGGGGAAGGGCCCUAUCCCCUCCGCCCUUGGACAACCCCACCUGGAAGUGUCUACUCCUGAUUACCAAGGACAGCCUCACGGGCAUUUGAGAAGGGCAGGAAUCACCCCCUGACCUGGUGACACUGAUGGAGCAAAGCUGCUUCCCCACUCUACACUUCAGUUUACCCACUCCUUCCAGUGGAGAUAAUGACCUCUUUGUGCUCUGUGCUACGUGAGUCAGGGUUAAUUAGCAUUAGUCACAGACUUGGGAAUCCUUACAAGAAAAGGGUCAUCUGGUGGGUCUGGGGUGUGCCCUGGCCGUGAUGAGACACCACUCAUGCCCUGGUGAGUGUGUCAUCAUGCUUCAUUAGUGGCUUGCUUAACUGCAGGUUGGCCCUGGGGUGGCCCAGCCCUGAGUGCCAGUGCUGAGACCCGCCCAAGGCUGACAUGUGCGGAGGGCUGCAUGUGUGGCAGCAUGGCUGCCAAUGGCUCAUGGUCCCCUGGGUUUCCCUUUUGGUUGACUUGCCAUUCGAUCUAGUUCUUAUCCUUGCCACUCAAGCCUCUCGUCCUGAAUGCAAGGCCCCAGUUCUGACCUUAAAUUUAGAUAUUUUUUUUUCUUUCUCUGUCUCCUCAAUAAAUAUCCAUUCUCAUUUCUCUGCCCCUCCCGUUUCAAUGCUUUCAGUUCCUUUCUGUUUCCAACACUGCACUUGUAGAACUUAAGUGAGGUUAGGGGAGAGUACCUGUAACAAAAUAAAGACAAAGUUCAGAAUGAUGAAUGUCUGC